ACGCUCGACACCUACGGGACGCAGCAGUGAGGAAUAUUGGUCAAUGGGCGCAGGCCUGAACCAGCCAAGUAGCGUGAAGGAUGACUGCCCUAUGGGUUGUAAACUUCUUUUAUAUGGGAAUAAAGUUUUCCACGUGUGGAAUUUUGUAUGUACCAUAUGAAUAAGGAUCGGCUAACUCCGUGCCAGCAGCCGCGGUAAUCUGAGGCGGGCUGGCAAGGC
This 219-nucleotide ribosomal RNA is filed under the name uncultured bacterium. RNAcentral's name for it is "partial 16S ribosomal RNA". It matches the Rfam family "Bacterial small subunit ribosomal RNA", at positions 326 to 539 of the family's 1533-position model. The record is from RNAcentral.